GCCUCACAGCUCCCUUUCGGCACAGCAAAGCAGUGAUUCCAUUAACUAGCUGGCUGUGAGCACGGGGUUUAUCUAAUGAGUUCUCUCCUCCUGGCCUCCUGGCCAUUCCAGUGCUGGUGUGUAAAUAUGAGCCACAGCCUGGGAGGGCGUUUUGCACAAGCAUCCCGGGGCCUUCCAUGGGCUUUUUUUUAUUUUUGUGUUUUUUUGUCUUUUUAGGGCUGCACCCACGCUAUAUGGAGGUUCCCAGGCUAGGGGUCGAAUCGGAGCUACAACUGCCAGCCUACACCACAGUCACAGCAACACUGAAUCCUUAACCCACUGAGUGAGGCCAGGGAUCGAACCUGCAACCUCAUGGUUCCUAGUAGGAUUCUUUUUCGUGGAGCCAUGAGGGAAACUCCCACACAUCAUUUAAAAAUAGAGAUCCCUGAAGUUCCCUUCGUGGUUCAGUGGUUAACGAACUCGACUAGCAUCCAUGAGGAUGCAGGUUCGAUCCCUGACCUCGCUCAGUGGGUUAAGGAUCCGGCGUUGUCGUGAGCUGUGGUGUACGUCGCAGACACAGCUUAGACCCUGCGUUGCUGUGCCUGUGGUGUAGGCCGGAGGCUACAGCUCCAAUUCAAUGACUGAGGAACCUCCAUAUGCUGUGGUUGCGGCCCUUAAAAAAGAAAAAAAAGGCAGAAGAAAACCCAGUGUAUGUGCGAGUGUGUGUGUGUGUGUGUGUGUGUGUGUGUGUGUGUGUGAGAUGAAUGUGUGGGCACAUGUGCGCAUGUGUGUGACAGCCGCUCUGGGAGGGAGCUUGGACCUCUGCGUAUGAGUUCACCUCUGACCUGGCUCCCGUGGCCGAGGCCCGGGUGGUGGGCUGGGUGGAACAACCACUGGGGGCCUGGGUGGCCGCGCUCCUGCUCAGGAUGGCCUUUGGCCAGCCCCGCCACCGAGAGUUGUUGUCAUUUCUUGGAGCCUGUCCCCUGGUUGGGUGGUCCUGUCCCACAGGCCACACGUGGGUCCAAGCCGCCUCCACAGGAGGGCAGCUGUGGGGGGGUGUCUUCAGCAGCUCUGCGUCCCUGGGGCCUGCACUGGGGUAGCUGCAGUCUCCUCAGAGAAAUGUCCCCUGACCCUGGCCUGACCGCCCUUCUUUAGGCCUGGAAGGGUCAGUUUGUGCUCCUGGGGCUCAGAGACCUGGGCGGGGGGUACCCAGCCAGUGCCACCGUGUUCACCUGGGGCUGCUGGAGCGGUGACAGCGCUGGGGGAAUGCAGCUGGUCUCUCCGGGUACCACUCACUUCUGGAUUUCUGUCCUAACGGACACUUUCACUGCCCUUGGUCCCAAAGCCACGGUCCAGCUUGGCUUUUGGUGACUCCAGGGCUCACCCCGAGCAGCCCUCAGCCUCAGCCACGGGGAGGCCAGCGGAGGCCGAGGCAGUGGCUCCACGAACCCGGGUGUCGGGAGCCUGUCCUCCGGCACCUUCCCUCCUCUGCUUCGUCCCCCGCCCGGCUGUCGCACGUGGAACUCCUCAGGUCCCCGUGCAUGUUCUCAGGGGGGCUUUUGUAAGAUGCUGCUGCCUGGCCGCUACCCUGGAGAUGUGGCCGUCUGCUGUGCGGGUAAUUUCUUUCUCUCCUUCUUUCAUUUUCUCUGGCCGCACCCACGGCAUGCGGAACUUCCCGCCCCAGGGAUGGCACCCUCCGCCAUGGCAGUGACACGAGCCAUAGUGGUGACAAUGCCAGAUCUGUAAGCCGACUUUCUCCUUUGUAAAUGUUUCUGAAAAUUCGUAAAAGUCACUUUUUAAAAAAAGCCCUCUCAAAAUGGAAAAAUAGAAAUCAUACAACGUUUAAAAAAAAAGAAAGAAACAAUCUGUUGAAACAUACAUGGCCUGAAGUUUACAUUUUGCUGGCUUUUAGGGUCUCUAGUUCUGUGGCCUCAAGCACACAUGCUGCUGUUCAGCCGGCACCACUGUCCAUCUCUUGAAUGCUGAUCUCGCACAGCUGGAUCGCUGUCCCCGGGCAGCAGGAACCCCCCCUCCUGCCACAGCCCCCGGCAGCCACCGUUCUCCUUUCCACCUCUGCGCGUGCGGACAGCGGUAGGGCCUCGUGCCAGUGGAGCUGUAUGGUAUUUGUCCUUCAGCGUCUGACUUCUUUGGUCCAGCCUGUCUCCAGGUUCAUCCGUGGUGCAUCGUGGGUCUGAAUUUCCUGCCUUUUGAAGGGUGAGUGAUGGUCCCAUAUGCGUCUGUCCCACAUUUGUUCAUCCCUGGGUCUGCGGAUGGACCUCUGGGUUGUGCUCCUCUUUUGGCUGUCGUGGAUGCUGCUGCCGUGACGAUGGCUGUGCAAACAUCUCUUGAGGCUCUGCUUUCAGUCUUGUGUGGUUUCUCUAGUGGAAUUGCUGGCCCCUGUGUUCUUGCGUGUGUGACGUCGAGGGACCCGUGACUCUGUCUUCUGCGGCAGCUGCGCUGUGUCACGUCGCUACCAGUGAAGCUCAGGGAUUCCAGUUUUCCCAGGCUUCUCACCACGGCUUCUGUUUUCUGUUCGUGUGGGCUUUGUUUGCUUGAUGAAAACCAUCCUAAUAGCUGUGAGGCGAUGUCUCGUUAUGGUUUUGAUUUGCAUUGGAGAUGAAGCAUUCAGAUACUUCCCCAGGGGUGCCCGUGAGCACCCAGAAUUGAGAACCAGCAAGUACCCGGCCAUCGGUUAUCAGGGGCUGUCAGGCGCUGAUCUGGGUGCCCGUUACCCUCCUCGGUCUUGGGGAGACGGGAACCAUUCUCCUUUCUGCGGAGGAGAAACUCGGGCACAGAGGUGGGUGAACGCCGCACAGUUAGCAGGUGGUGGGGCGGAGUCACACCCACAUCCGUGGGCCCCAGAGAGCCUCCCUCUGGGCCUCGUUGCUCCUUAGCCCCCAGCCGACCAGGCUGCUCAGGGAACCUUCCACUCCAGGAAGCAAAAGCCUCCGGGGCACCAGGGCAGCUCCGAUUUGCAAGGGGGCCGUCCGGUCUAAAGACGAAAUCAAGAUGAAAUCUAUUCUUGAAAGGAAUGUUUUUAUUUUUAGUGAGGAGGUGUGAUUGAGAAGAGUUGUUUCAUUUUAAAUAACCGAUGGUUCUCCCGCUUCCAGCUAGUAGUUUAAUAGUUACCUUGUAAUCAUUUAUUCAAAUAAAACUCAUGUGGAGGCUGUGUUUUCAGGGGCAGCAAUCCAGAAUCCACGGCGUUUCUGUCUCUCGUAUUUCCCCAGGGCCUGGAGCAGGGCCGCGUGUGAGAGCUGGGGCAUGACAACAGUGCCCCCUCGUGGGAACUGGAAAUGCGGCCCUGGCACCUGUAGCAACUUUGUCCGAAAGCUGGGAGCAGGGAUUUCUGUUCCCAGCCCUGUCUAGGUCUGUUUUUGGUCAAGGGGCGUAAAAAGCCACUCUUUUCCAAGAGUCGUUCUUGCUGCAGGGGGACCAAAGGCAGAGUUAGGGCCCCGAGUGACAGAGACAAUGGCAGAUUCAGUCUUGCUCCCCUUGCUGACCCCAAACUGCCUCCCGGAGGGGACUUUCCACUGGAGCCCGGGCGUUGGCCGGAGGCUGGUUGGCUCCCACGCCACCCACAAAGCAGGCUGGGAACGUCUGAGCCUGGGAUUCCCGCCCCAGAGUCUUUGCUCUCAGAGGGUCUAGAAUGGGCAGAACCUCGCUGCCUCCCUUCCCUCCCUGGAGAAAUAUAACUCCCUUAUCGGAAAACAAUUCAUAUACCAAACAAUUUACACAUGUAAGUAUAUAAUCCAGUGGCUUUUCAUGUUUUCACAGAGUUGUGCAGCCAUCACCACAGUCAGUUUUAGAAUGUGCUUGGAGUUCCCGUCGUGGUUCAAUGGGUUAAAGACCCCAACAUUGUGUCCGUGAGGAUGCGAGUUCGAUCCCUGGCAUUGCUCAGUGGGUUAAGGAUCCAGCAUUGCUGAAAACUGUAGUGUAGGUCACAGAUGCGGCUCAGAUCGUGCAAUGCUGUGACUGUGGUGUAGGCUGGCAGCUGCAGCUCUGAUUCAACCCCU
Molecule: long non-coding RNA, 3992 nt
Filed under: Sus scrofa (pig)
Lineage: Eukaryota; Metazoa; Chordata; Mammalia; Artiodactyla; Suidae
Description: lncRNA (ENSSSCG00060030152.1)
Source: RNAcentral